GAGAAAGUGGCAGAGCGGUAAUGCGGUCGGCUUGAAACCGGCAUUCGGGGGUUCAAACCCUUCCUUUCUCG
RNAcentral lists this transfer RNA (71 nucleotides) under Limnichthys fasciatus (barred sand burrower). RNAcentral's name for it is "tRNA-Ser(UCN)". It matches the Rfam family "tRNA". Rfam says of the family: Transfer RNA (tRNA) molecules are approximately 80 nucleotides in length. The record is from RNAcentral. Lineage: Eukaryota; Metazoa; Chordata; Actinopteri; Acropomatiformes; Creediidae.